Quercus lobata is the source of this 2586-nucleotide long non-coding RNA. RefSeq lists it as uncharacterized. NCBI's taxonomy places the organism in Eukaryota, Viridiplantae, Streptophyta, Magnoliopsida, Fagales, Fagaceae. The record is from RefSeq and is a predicted model, not a curated record. The transcript has 4 exons.
AAUGUUUUUUUCGUUCCCGCAAAAAAUUUCCCCAAAAUUUUAUUAGUCUCUCUUCUCACUCAUUCUUACUCUCUGCUUCUCCUCUCUUCCCCAAAUUUUUGGAUACAAUGGAUUGGUUCAAUUAAUUAUUUUUUACUAGACCCAGACCAUAACUACUCACAAUGGAUUGGUUCAAUUAAUUUUUUUUUACUAAACCCAGACCAUAACUCCUUCCCUUGGGUUCUGGUCAUCCCAAAUUUCAUCCUCAUCAACCUCUCUCUCUCUCUCUAUAUAUAUAUAUAUAUAUAUUGGUGUUUACGGUUGAGACGGGAGUAGUGGUGCAUGUUUUAGGUUUUGGAUUGGUGAUCUUUUGUUGAGGGUUUGGGCAUCUUGUGAAAUUAGGGUUUCUCGAUAUGGCUUCCAAGCUGAUCUUGAAGGAACUCAAGGAUUUGCAGAAGGAUCCUCCUACUUCUUGCAGCGCCGGCUUUAUUGCCAGGAUCCAUUUUAAGGUACUACUGCAACACUCACAGAUGUUCACUUGCUAUAGUUCCUUUUUAUUUUUUUAUAGUUUUUAUUGGAUAAAGGAGAAUAUUUUAUUAACAUACAAGAACCUGAGGCACAACCACCGACCAUACAAAAACCUUACCUUUCAAAAGAGUUGUCUUUAAGAGAGUGGGCAGUACAUUCCUAGAGUUAAUGAAUCUAAAUAAUUCAUAGUAUGUUUGCAUAAAUUGGGAUGAAGUUGGACCACCAUUAUUAUCUCUUAAAUUUGUGGUACAAAAACUGAAUUUAUGAUAAUGGUUCAGCCGGUAAACUCUUUUUUAGUAAGAUCUUUAAUUUAUUUUAAAAUAUAAUUUUCCAUUAAAUUUAUGAAAUUUUAAGAAGUGCCACCUUUUCUUCUUAUUAUUUUUUUAAAGAGUUUUAUAGUUGGCCCACACAAAUGUUUUUUUGGGUGCAAACUAUGAGGGGUAUUCUAGUGCUGAACAUAUAGCACUCAAAUAUUUUCUAAAUUUCAGUGGGAGCAAUUGCCUCAACUCAAUAUAAGGUACUUUCACCCAUGCUUUGUAAUGGUUGUCUAGGUGUUGAAGUUGGGACCAAAGAAUUUGUUUUUCCUGCAAAAGUUUACUCUAAUUAAGGACUUUUGAUAGCUUUGGAUUUUUGUCCCAUAUAAAUUGAACUUUGUGAUUUGUUAUGAACAUCAAUCAUGAAGCUUUGCAAUGAUUUGAGGAUCCUUGUCUGGAGUUGGAUGGGGAGAGUGAUGGUAACCUUUGAAUGGAGUUGGGAGAAGCAUGUUUGGGUGGAUUGUUGUAGUGAUACUGUCUACUUUGUGUUGACUGGACCAAUGAUCAGGCCAUGCUACCAUUCUUCUGGUUAAACUGGUAAAUCUGGCUUGGUCUUCUAAAUUUUAAUAUUCUUCUUGAUUUGAGCUACUCACUGGGGUCAACGCAUGGAAAUUUGAUGGAUUAGAAAUCAUGAAGAUGCUCUACAGAUUAUCAACAAAAAAAGAAAAAAAGAAAAAAAGAUGCACCUACAUGUCUAGGAUUUGCAGGAAAAGAAAAAUUCUUUUUUCUCUCAAUACCUAAAACUGAAGGAAACUCUUGAUCUAGUGUUACAUUGGCAACCAUAUUCUCUCACUUUUUUUGGGUUUCUGUAUUACGUCAAUUGUCCAUAUGAGUUCUUUGUUGUAUUAUUGGAGCUAAUGUAUCUUCUUGUAAGAGGUGUAAAAUUUGUGUUGCAAGAAAAAAAAAUUUUAAAUCUAUAUUCUGAUAUUCGUUAUUUAUGUGUCAAAUUGGUUCUUCCCCUGGUUUUGAGGAUGGAGCAUUUGAGUCUACCAAGUUGGUCCGUCCAGCAGCUUCAUUUUAUCAUGCUGUAGAUGAUUGCCUAUAUUUUGUGGAUUUAGAGCCAUAUGGAGAAUAGUGGGCUAUGUGUGUAGAAUCAAAAAUUGGUUGAAGAGGCUUUUUAAGCAAAAGAACUGGCUUUUGCUGCUGUUGUGGAGCUGAAAAUUUAGCUGGUAAAGUGUCAAAGCCUUCCAACAUUUUGGUUUCAGGUCUCCUGGUCUUCAAAGGCUGUUAUGCUGAAAGUACCAGUGAUAGUUUGUCUUGAAGGCACAAACGUGAUCAGAAAAGAGCACGACUUCACUCUUUUGUUCAACUUCUAAGUCCAAGGUGUUUACCAGACACUAUGUGAAAGAAACAAAGUUUUUAUUUUUAUUUUUUAUAGAAGAAAAAACUAAACUCAAAGUCUGACACUUCAACUUUGGGGAUUGUCAAAGUUCACAUCUUUCCUGGUUGUGUUAAAUUGAGGUACUUUUGAUGAUCUCUCUUCAUUUUACCUUCUGGGUAUUCCUUAAUUUUGGUAAACAAGUUGUGGGUAUCUUUGAAAAUCAGCAACUGUUUCAUGGUUUAGUUGUGGGUCUCUGUGUCUUAGAGUUUCAUGGGUUUUGAAUGAUUUUUGGAGUUUUUGUGUGUUUUGGGUGUAACUAAUUGGUGAAUUGUAAAAAGUGUCUUAAUUUAAUUUGAGUUAUGGAGUACUUUUUAAAAGGAGACUAGUUUGGAAAUACUGAAAAAAUUGGAUAUGGAAUUUUAGCGGUUACUUUUCUUUUCUUUU